RNAcentral lists this ribosomal RNA (223 nucleotides) under uncultured Chlamydiales CRG12. RNAcentral describes it as "partial 16S ribosomal RNA". It matches the Rfam family "Bacterial small subunit ribosomal RNA", at positions 66 to 273 of the family's 1533-position model. The record is from RNAcentral. Lineage: Bacteria; Pseudomonadati; Chlamydiota; Chlamydiia; Chlamydiales.
ACGAGAUUAUAGGGUAACCUGUAGUCUAGUGGCGGAAGGGUUAGUAAUACAUGAAUAACUUGCCUUUAACCUGGGGAUAACGGCUGGAAACGGCCGCUAAUACCGAAUGCGGUAGUAGGAGGAAGCUUCGAACUAUCAAAGUGGGGGACUUCGAAAGGAGCCUUGCGGUUAAAGAGAGGUUCAUGGGAUAUCAGCUAGUUGGUGUGGUAAAAGCGCACCAAGG